This is a long non-coding RNA of Alligator mississippiensis (American alligator), 5322 nucleotides long. RefSeq lists it as uncharacterized. The record is from RefSeq and is a predicted model, not a curated record. Lineage: Eukaryota; Metazoa; Chordata; Crocodylia; Alligatoridae. The transcript is spliced from 2 exons.
CCACCAGCUAAAUAGGGUGCAUGGCUUGACAUAGGGUGCACCAGUGCUCUCAGGGAGUGCACAUGCAGCCCCUAUGCAUUGCCACUACCUACACUGUGGUUGCUGGGAUCCAAAUUGAGAAGUAGUUUCCCACCUGGAUUAUAUUGGGGUAAAAUGCUCUCAGCUGGUGUGAAUUGGCUAUGGCUCUGCUGAGGUCAAUUAUUAGCUGAGUGACAUCAGCUUCUUUGCAGCCCAUGUACCUAUUUCUCAAUUGGUAUGUAUCUGUCAUUGCUUCACUGGGCUGUAUUGGGCUGAAUCCCUAGCCUGGUGAAAAUUGGCAUAGCUUAAUUGGAGUUGCAUGCUCCUGUGUUGCUGCAAACGUCACUUAAUUCAACUUGUGCCUUAGUUUCUUAUGUGGAAAAUAGAUAGCAAAGCAUUUCCCCCAUUGCCCCGAAGUAGCAUGACAAUAGAAUCCGUUCACACUUACGGGGCUUCCAGAUAAGCCCUGUAUGAAUACUGGGAAACCUGAAGGUCAGGUUGAUGUACAGACAUGAUCAGGGUCUGUUUCUGUCUCUUUUAACUCAGGGUAAUGAAAUUUCCCUCAUUUCCUGUGUAAGUUUGGUUCAAGGUAGAGUACUCAGCACAGUAAGCGGAAGCAUUUAGGUGACCAGGAAGAUGUUGUAUACUGUAUCUCAAAUGUUGGCCCAAGUCUUAUGCGCAGUGACAUUGUGGUAAAAAUACAGCAUAAUCUAUACACCCUGCUUUUGUAAUUGCUUGUGCACUCUGCAUGUUCUCACUCUCGCUUCCACACUUAUCACUAAGACAAGUAAACUAACAAUUGAUUUAUGAAUAGAACUAAAAUUCUGCAGACGGAGCCAGGAACGGAUGCAAUAAAUAACUCCUUACAAGAGAUAAGCGAAGAGGGACAGGGAAAAAUGUUGAUACAAAGACAUUUUACCCUGACUGAAGGAUGACCAGAGGGGCUUAAGAACUGCCCCUGGGAGAGGAUUUAAGAUGUAAAUGAGACAUGUAUGUAAACCGUCAUAAAACAUGUAACUGCUAAGACAUACAAUGCAAGACGUAAUGCUAAGUCUGCCAAUAAUUGCACGACACGUUGAAAUCUAUUGUUUACGUUGGCUAAAAAGAAGCUUCAGACACAGUUUGAAGUCAACUCGGCUUUGAACAUUGAGUUCCCUUGUCGACCUGUUUGCAAACAAUAAACUCGAGUUGGACCCGGCCUGAGUGUGUAUGACUCUCUCCUUGAGGUGUAUUGGAAAAGCCUCCAGGGGUACGAAACUAGCCGUUUGUGCAACAACAUGAAAGGCUAAAUUCUGGUGAAAUGUCAGGGCCUUCAGGAUUCAGGUCUGUGGAUGGCAUUAGCUGAACAGAGCAGGAAGCUGUGUGUGGGCAACUAUAAAAUGAAGAUUCAAGCCAAAUCCUUAUUGUGCUGGUGUAAGUAAUGACCUGAGAUACUGGUUUUCUCUGAUUAAAAAAAUCCCAAUUUUUUUUUGGAUUAAAAAAACUACCCCAAAUCCACAUUUUUGUUGAUUAAAAUGAAAUGGCUCUAUCUAUCUAUCUAUCUAUCUAUCUAUCUAUCUAUCUAUCUAUCUAUCUAUCUGUGGUGUUUCAUUUUAAUCAUGGAAAAAUGUGGAUUUGGGGUUACUUUUUUAAUCCAAAAAUUGGGAAUUUUUUUAUCAGACAAAACCAGCAUCCCAGGUAAUGACACUCUUGUAUUUAGGAAAUCAGUAGGGUAAAUGGCAAGUCUUUGAAAGCUGCUCCUCCUGGAGCAGCAAAUUGAAAGGAUGCACAAUACAGACAAUAGCAAAUAAUUUUUUUUUUCUUUAAAGAAUCACUAGAUGGCAGAACAUAUUGAAAUAUAAAAACAAAGCCCUGUAGUAAGAACUGAAUGGAAAUAGAAGUUAACUGAGAAAGGGAAACAAUCUUUUCUGAUAUGAAAAAAGAGGACUAUCUAUGAGGAUGAUAUAAAAGGUUUAUAAAAUCAUAAUUGUACUAAUAUAGUGCCAAAUUAUAAUGGCAUGAACAUUGUAAUUUAUUAUACAAUGGGCACAAGACACAAGACGUGUUAAUGUUUAUUAGCUUAAUUUACAGAGCAGUGCAGGUGUGCAUGUACACAUGUGCGCUCUUAAAAAUGGCUAAUGUCAUUCUUGAUGGGCAAUUUGCUUGUGUGUGUGUGUGUGUGUGUAUAUAUAUAUAUAUAUAUAUAUAUAUAUACACACAUACAGACAUAUAUAUCUGUAUCUCAAAUGUUAUAUCUCAAAUAUAUAUAUAUUCCUCAGAAACCUCUAUCCUGCAGCCCUGGAGACAGUAAAUGAUUGCUCCCACUUAGUGGUUACUGGGGACCCAUAAUCCCAGCCAAGGGAGAGAACUGUAACACCUGCAAAGGCAGGGAGGGAAAGUUUGCAGAAACUUGCAGAAAGUUGUUGCUUGCAAGAGCAUAUGCAUGUUUGUGAUUGGCUGGUGAGGCAGGAGAGGGGAGGGGAAAAAAGGGUGGUAAGAGGGACUUGCCAAGGAGGGCAGGGUGUUGGUCUGGGAAGGCUCUGGGGGAGUGAAAGCCCACAGACAGCAGGAGCAGAGGAGAGCUGCUCUUCCCCAUGCAGGCUCUGGCAGAGAGCAGGACUUUCCCAGCAGCAGCACCAGCCAUGGUUAUUGUGUUGCCAGCGUGAAGGAGAGCUGAUGUGUGUGUUAAGCCUGUGUGCUGCUGCUGAAAUCACUUGAGUCUCAAAGUUAAAGCUGAGGAGUUGUACUGAGGGUGUCUUUGAUUCAAUUGGUACAGACUGUUCUAGUUCAUUGAUACCUGCCUUUGCAAUUAGAUUAUUGCUAUCCUGUCCUGCUAUUAACCUCAUUCAUACGCUGACUGUUUUGUAAAUAAUAAACUUUGUAGAUAGUUAGACUGUACGUACACCAGUGUGUGUGGGGACACCACAAGAAAUAGCUCCACAGAAGCCCCCCAGCCUGAGGGGCUGGGAGGUUGACUGAGGCUAUUUGAAUCCCCAGGACCCUGAAUUAUUAUUAACUGCUAGCAGUGAGAGAAGCUCAAGCAACUCUGCCUGGUUGUGUCCAGGCUCCAACUUUUCUACAACAAUGUAAACAACCUGUGCGCACAAACAAUGGUACCAUAUAUACAUGGUUAAUCAGGAAAUGGAUUCUUUAUGCUGGCACAUCACAGUACUUUUCCAUUUUUCUUAUACUUCCCGCUCACUUCUGUGCCUACGUAACAAGUUCACUCAGAGUUAAUGGUCUCCAGAGCCAUCUUAGGUGACUGGCUUCCACAAUCCCUCCUUUUGGCCAAGCUACGCUCAGGCCAACCCAAAAUCAACAAUACAUUUUAAUACCCAUAAGAUUUUUUUAUCUCUUCUUCUCUUUCUUGUUUCUUUUCAAUCUUCAUUAUCAUCAACUGGAUUCCAGUGGUGUGUGCUUGUCUACUUGCAGUGGUUUUACAUAGUUUACAACAACAUAUAAUCAUUUGAACACAGACAAAUCCGACAAGGAGUAUGAAUACUCCUAUUAUAAGGUACUUGAGCAUUUCCUUUAUCCACCCAUGACCCAAAUACUGGACCUGAGGUUGACAGAAUUGCAAUUUAGCCUUUGAGGCUUUGUGGCCUUUAUCCACCAGCGCAUUCAGUAAAAUCAGAGUCAGUUUGACAAGCUGGUUUGGUAAGGGAACACAGCAAAAGAUCAUCCGCAUAUUGAACUAGAACUGACCCAUUGGGGAAAGUGAUGUCCGAAAUGUCUCUCUGCAAAGCUUGGGAGAAGUAAGAUGGGCUUUCACAAAAGCCCUGUGGAAGAGCCUUCCAAGUAUACUGUUGCCUUUUAUAUAUAAAAGCAAAAAGAUAUCAACUAUCAGGGUGCAGUGGUACGCUGAAAAAGGCACUGCGCUAAUCAACUACAGUAAAAUAGGUGGCCGUAGGGGGUAUACAAGCUAAGAUGGUAGCUGGAUUAGGUACAACAGGAAACUUUGGGAUGACAAUAGAGUUAACUGCUCGCAGGUCCUGGACAAACCUGCAGGUUUUCCCAUCUGCUUUCCUUACUGGGAGAAUUGGGGUGUUACAAGGACUAGUACACGGUGAGAUGACUCCCUGUUGCAAUAAAAUUGAAUGAUCGAGGCUAUACCUUGUUCAGCCUCUGGACUCAAAGGAUAUUGUGGCACUCUCGGAAGAAGUUUAAUAGGAUCAAUAAUAAGUUUAACCAGUUCUGUAUUUAAGUGCCCUACCUCAGUGGGUGAGGCAGACCAUAAAGAAGGAUUAACUUGAUCGAGCAGGGUUUCUUCUUCCAUUGUGAGGCUUGCAAGGAUGGGCGUGUAUUCUGCUAAACGUAUGUCCAGUAAUUCCUGUACAGCCUGAGGAGACGGCCCGUUUGUUUCCAGGAGUUCCAAAUAGACACCCUUGGGAGUGCAAAAAAUAGAGCAACCAAGUUUACAAAGUAAGUCCUUUCCCAAAAGAUUUACAGGGGAAGUGGAACUAAGUAAAAAAGCUUGUUCUGCUGAUAAGGGCCCUAUGGACACAGUUAAUGGCUCAGUUACUGGAUGGGGAACGGGCUCAUUAGAGAUUCCUACCGCUUGAACUACCUGUCCGGUCAAGGAGGCAUUUAGAUUGUAUUGCCGAUACAGAGGCCCCGGUAUCAACCAAAAAGGGGGCCACUUUGCCAUCGACCAAAAGAGAGAUUUCUCCCUUUUUUGUUAGGGGGACAAGGGGUACAAGGAGAGAACGGUCUUCUGCCUGGUCCCGUUCCCCAAUGGCCCGUCAUUGUGUUGGAAACUGGGCAGGUGUUAGGUGAUUGGGACAUUCAUUUUUCCAAUGUCCUGGUUGCUUACAAUAAUGACAGUUCUGUCAGUCUACCUGAUUCAUGCCCAUUCCUCUGCUUUUGCCUCUCCGUCCUCCACUGCAUCUCCGCCCUUGUGGAGGGCCCUGAAAUUGCUGAAUCUGAAGAGCUAACAAUUUGUUAUGUUGUUCUUCAACUUUCUCUUUUAGAGAGUGUAAGGGACUGGGUUGUAGGGGACCUUGCAGUGGUUAAGCUACAACUACAGGAGGGCAGGAGUCAAACCAUAGGCUGCACCAGGGGCUAGGAGUCAGAGACUAACCUUGUCUCCCCCAUAAUUCCCAUCCUGAUAACAGCAAAGCAGUAAUGAGCUAGUGUUUGUAGCUGCUUUUUCUAGCAAACUCCACUAUAUGAUCACGUGAGUUGUAGCGACUGUUAAAAAGUAUAUAAGCCUCCUGAUUUUGCUUUUGGGGGGGAACCCCUUCCAAGUGCUUGGAAAAGCCAUGUCAUUUUGGGGUCCCCCCUACAGCUGUAGUUUCAUUUGAAUAAAAGCUUCUGCUGACCUGA